RNAcentral lists this ribosomal RNA (492 nucleotides) under uncultured bacterium. RNAcentral's name for it is "partial 16S ribosomal RNA". It matches the Rfam family "Bacterial small subunit ribosomal RNA", at positions 29 to 507 of the family's 1533-position model. The record is from RNAcentral.
AGUGAACGCUGGCGGUAGGCCUAACACAUGCAAGUCGAACGGCAGCACAGUAAGAGCUUGCUCUUACGGGUGGCGAGUGGCGGACGGGUGAGGAAUACAUCGGAAUCUACUUUUUCGUGGGGGAUAACGUAGGGAAACUUACGCUACUACCGCAUACGACCUACGGGUGAAAGCAGUGGAUCUUCGCACCUUGCGCGAUUGAAUGAGCCGAUGUCGGAUUAGCUAGUUGGCGGGGUAAAGGCCCACCAAGGCGACGAUCCGUAGCUGGUCUGAGAGGAUGAUCAGCCACACUGGAACUGAGACACGGUCCAGACUCCUACGGGAGGCAGCAGUAGGGAAUAUUGGACAAUGGGCGCAAGCCCGAUCCAGCCAUACCGCGUGGGUGAAGAAGGCCUUCGGGUUGUAAAGCCCUUUUGUUGGGAAAGAAAAGCGGCAGGUUAAUACCCCGCUGUUCUGACGGUACCCAAAGAAUAAGCACCGGCUAACUUCGUG